CUGCGAGUUCGCGGGAGAGUAAGUUAUUGCCAGGGUUUUUAUUUUAUGCUUUAAACAUUGAUUUUAUUUUUUAUAUUUUUAGAUGUUCAUGUUUUUGAAUGUUUUAUUUAAAUAAUAUAAAAAAUAAAAUAUAUAUUGACAUGGAUUAAACAAAGAUAUAUAUUAUUCUAUGUUGCAUAAACAAAUUGGCAAAAUAGAGAUGGAAGAUAAAAAUAUGGUCAAAGUAAUAAGAGUCUAUGGUGAAUGCCUAGGA
RNAcentral lists this unclassified non-coding RNA (253 nucleotides) under Borreliella garinii. RNAcentral's name for it is "partial 5S-23S ribosomal RNA intergenic spacer". Lineage: Bacteria; Pseudomonadati; Spirochaetota; Spirochaetia; Spirochaetales; Borreliaceae. The record is from RNAcentral.